RNAcentral lists this ribosomal RNA (400 nucleotides) under uncultured bacterium. Its description in RNAcentral is "partial 16S ribosomal RNA". It matches the Rfam family "Bacterial small subunit ribosomal RNA", at positions 355 to 747 of the family's 1533-position model. The record is from RNAcentral.
UGGGGAAUUUUGGACAAUGGGGGGAACCCUGAUCCAGCAACGCCGCGUGAAUGAAGAAGGCCUUCGGGUUGUAAAGUUCUUUUGUCUGUGAGCAAAGGUUACUGGGUAAUAUACGGUAAAUCUGAGAGUAGCAGAAGAAUAAGCACCGGCUAACUACGUGCCAGCAGCCGCGGUAAUACGUAGGGUGCGAGCGUUAAUCGGAAUUACUGGGCGUAAAGAGUGCGUAGGCGGAAAUGUAAGUUAGAUGUGAAAUCCCCGAGCUUAACUUGGGAACAGCAUUUAAGACUGCAUAUCUAGAGUUUGUCAGAGGGGGGUAGAAUUCCAAGUGUAGCAGUGAAAUGCGUAGAGAUUUGGAGGAAUACCGAUGGCGAAGGCAGCCCCCUGGGAUAGAACUGACGCU